AAUGAGACGUGUCGCUCUAAAGAAAGGCUCGGGAACAUUGGUGGCAAAAAAGAAAAGGGGGAAAAGAGAAAUCUACUUUUUGCGCCUGUUUCAAUCGAGAUUGCCGUCACAUUGCGAGGGGCCUGUUGCAUCACAUAUCCACCGUUACGAAAGGACGAAACGGACGAGAUCGAAUUCUUGCAAAACCAGGACGAGAGAAAAGCGGAAGGUGAAAGGUCCAGAAAAUUUGGUCGCGAGGGAUCCUUCUUUCCGUCCUUAUAAAAUUUCCCCCCUCACGAGAAGGAGCAGAGGAGAGAUUUGGCUUGAAAGAGAAACCCGAGAAGCGCGCUAAUACGGAUCUCGUGCUAAGGAACGUGGCUGUAAAGAGAAGCGUGGUGGGGAAAGAUCCUCCAACGAUGCACCUGUGACGCUACGCGGCUAACUUCGCGACGUACGACAUCACGCGGUGACGAAUACCACGUGGAAUUUUCCUCGUAACGGCAAAAAACGCCUGUGAUCUAUGAUCCUUUAUAACAUUGAUUUUAGCUUGAUCGAAAAAUAAUACAAUCUAUUAUAAUCGUUUUAAAACAUUACUUGUAUGGUAAUUUUUUUCUUUGUGUAUUGAGAAAUGGGAAGAGACACUUAUAAUUUUUCAAUGUUUUGAUUAUAAUGACAAUUUAACUUUAACAUUGUAUUUAAUUUUUA
Long non-coding RNA from Temnothorax curvispinosus, 684 nucleotides. RefSeq lists it as uncharacterized. The transcript has 3 exons. The record is from RefSeq and is a predicted model, not a curated record. Lineage: Eukaryota; Metazoa; Arthropoda; Insecta; Hymenoptera; Formicidae.